Molecule: small RNA, 74 nt
Filed under: Erythrobacter litoralis
Lineage: Bacteria; Pseudomonadati; Pseudomonadota; Alphaproteobacteria; Sphingomonadales; Erythrobacteraceae
Description: Makes More Granules Regulator RNA (mmgR)
Rfam family: Makes More Granules Regulator RNA (mmgR)
About the family: SuhB later renamed mmgR (makes more granules regulator) was a putative non-coding RNA found multiple times in the Agrobacterium tumefaciens genome and related alpha-proteobacteria. Other non-coding RNAs uncovered in the same analysis include: speF, ybhL, metA, and serC.
Source: Rfam by way of RNAcentral
CAAUAGUGCCUUUCAGGCAUCCUCUCCCAAACUUUUCAAGCCCGGCCUUCGUGCCGGGCUUUUUUCUGCCCUCU